UGGGGAAUCUUAGACAAUGGGGGAAACCCUGAUCUAGCCACGCCGCGUGAGCGAUGAAGGCCUUAGGGUUGUAAAGCUCUUUCAGCUGGGAAGAUAAUGACGGUACCAGCAGAAGAAGCCCCGGCUAACUCCGUGCCAGCAGCCGCGGUAAUACGGAGGGGGCUAGCGUUGUUCGGAAUUACUGGGCGUAAAGCGCACGUAGGCGGAUUAGUCAGUCGGAGGUGAAAUCCCAGGGCUCAACCCUGGAACUGCCUUUGAUACUGCUAGUCUUGAGGUCGAGAGAGGUGAGUGGAAUUCCGAGUGUAGAGGUGAAAUUCGUAGAUAUUCGGAGGAACACCAGUGGCGAAGGCGGCUCACUGGCUCGAUACUGACGCUGAGGUGCGAAAGCGUGGGGAGCAAAACAGGAUUAGAUACCCUGGUAGUCCACGCCGUAAACGAUGAAUGCCAGUCGUCGGGUUGCAUGCAAUUCGGUGACACACCUAACGGAUUAAGCAUUCCGCCUGGGGAGUACGGUCGCAAGAUUAAAACUCAAAGGAAUUGAC
RNAcentral lists this ribosomal RNA (542 nucleotides) under uncultured bacterium. RNAcentral describes it as "partial 16S ribosomal RNA". It matches the Rfam family "Bacterial small subunit ribosomal RNA", at positions 355 to 914 of the family's 1533-position model. The record is from RNAcentral.